Molecule: ribosomal RNA, 253 nt
Filed under: uncultured bacterium
Lineage: Bacteria
Description: partial 16S ribosomal RNA
Rfam family: Bacterial small subunit ribosomal RNA
Source: RNAcentral
UACAGAGGGUGCGAGCGUUAAUCGGAAUUACUGGGCGUAAAGGGCGCGUAGGCGGUUGCAGACGUGUGAUGUGAAAUCCCUGGGCUUAACCUAGGAAGUGCAUCGCAGACGAUGUGACUGGAGUAUUGGAGAGGGUAGCGGAAUUUCCGGUGUAGCGGUGAAAUGCGUAGAGAUCGGAAGGAACGUCAAUGGCGAAGGCAGCUACCUGGCCAGAUACUGACGCUGAGGCGCGAGAGCGUGGGGAGCAAACAGG